Molecule: unclassified non-coding RNA, 362 nt
Filed under: uncultured Cenococcum
Lineage: Eukaryota; Fungi; Ascomycota; Dothideomycetes; Gloniales; Gloniaceae
Description: sequence contains ITS2
Rfam family: 5.8S ribosomal RNA (bases 1-154)
Source: RNAcentral
AACUUUUAACAACGGAUCACUUGGUUGUGGCAUCGAUGAAGAACGCAGCGAAAUGCGAUAAGUAGUGUGAAUUGCAGAAUUCAGUGAAUCAUCGAAUCUUUGAACGCACAUUGCGCCCCUUGGUAUCCCGAGGGGCAUGCCGGUUCGAGCGUCAUUUCACCACUCAAGCCUAGCUUGGUGUUGGGCGACGUCCCUUUUGGACCCGCCUCGAAACGCUCGGCGGCGUGGCACCGGCUUUAAGCGUAGCAGCAUCUUUCGCUUUGAAGGUCGGGGCCCCGUCUGCCGGAAGACCCACUCGCAAGGUUGACCUCGGAUCAGGUAGGGAUACCCGCUGAACUUAAGCAUAUCAAUAAGCGGAGGCU